UUACUACUCCUUCCGUCUGGAAAUACUCGUCAGAAAGAUGGAUGUAUCUAGACGUAUUUUAGUUCUAGAUGCAUCUAUUUUAAUUUAUUUUGACAACAAGUAAUUUUGAACGGAAGGAGUACUAG
Hordeum vulgare subsp. vulgare (domesticated barley) is the source of this 125-nucleotide non-coding RNA. The record is from Rfam. Lineage: Eukaryota; Viridiplantae; Streptophyta; Magnoliopsida; Poales; Poaceae.